UACGUAGGUGACAAGCGUUAUCCGGAAUUACUGGGCGUAAAGCGCACGCAGGCGGCGCCGUAAGUCUGAUGUGAAAUCUCCUGGCUUAACUGGGAGGGGUCAUUGGAAACUGCGGUGCUUGAGGCGAUGAGAGGGGUGUAGAAUUCCCGGUGUAGUGGUGGAAUGCGUAGAUAUCGGGAGGAAUACCAGUGGCGAAAGCGGCACCCUGGCAUUAGCCUGACGCUCAUGUGCGAAGGCGUGGGGAGCGAACGGG
This 253-nucleotide ribosomal RNA is filed under the name uncultured bacterium. RNAcentral describes it as "partial 16S ribosomal RNA". It matches the Rfam family "Bacterial small subunit ribosomal RNA", at positions 524 to 776 of the family's 1533-position model. RNAcentral also lists the same sequence under 1 other name. The record is from RNAcentral.